Molecule: long non-coding RNA, 738 nt
Filed under: Salvia miltiorrhiza (redroot sage)
Lineage: Eukaryota; Viridiplantae; Streptophyta; Magnoliopsida; Lamiales; Lamiaceae
Description: long non-coding RNA (SMIL_LNC013799)
Source: RNAcentral
UUGAUGGGGUUACUCUGAAUUUUCAAGCGAUAAAGAAAAAUUCAUUUGUGGAACCCAUCCAUUAGAAUCUCCAAGAAACUGCCGAAAAUUUCUAUUUGCAGCUAUGUUAAACUCUAGGAUUUAUUAGAAAUAUAAUUUGAAUGUUAGGGAUAAAAUAGUAUAUUUAUUAUUAUUUUUAUUAUAAUUUUAAAAAAUGGGCUAUAAAGAGUAAAAAUAAGGCUAUGAAUAGAAUCACCCCUUCAAAAAUCACCACUAAACAAUUUGUUAGCAUCAUUAAACACUAUGUUACCGUCGCUUACAAUAUUUAACUCCUAUACCACCAAAUAACAUAAACUUACAUUCUUAAUAUUAUACAAAUUUCUAACAUUAUUUAUAAUUUAUUCUGCAUUUUGAUGAAACUCCUAACGUACCAAAAAAAUACUUAAUUAUAGCAAAUUCUAAUUUUAUUAUAAGAUUUUUGUGGCUUUAUUAUGUAAAUUCGGAUUAGCAAACAAAAAUUUCCCUAACACUUCUAGUUUAACAAGCCGAGUUCACAGCUCAGCUUCAAAUAUGUCGAUCGGGCCAACCCAUCGGAUUUCGGGCUGGUCCUAUCGGGUUACGUGUUAUUUGGGUGCGGGUUAAUCGAAUUGAAAAAAAUUUCGGGUUAGAAAUUUCCAACACUAACCCUAAAUAUUCGGAUUUCGGGAUAGCCCAUCGAACUAGUCCGGCUCAAAGUUUUAUUUAAAAAGAAUAACUAAU